GUAGAGGAAUCUGCUUUCCAUACUUUCUUCCUUUCUGUAUGAAUCUCCAGGUAAUAGCUCUUCACCGGAACUAGGUCAACAGCAGCAUCACCGGACUGACCCGUACAAACUGCUUGUUACUUGACCGUGAGGCUACACCCCUGCCUUGGAUUUCCUCUUCAGGACUCCUGUUUGCUCCCAAGAGAUUGGGAAGAUACUAUGUAGAUACCCACAAGAGUCCCACUGGCUAGAAAACGAGGUAACAGAUCCUAUGUCAAUAAAUCCAGACAUUUG
Molecule: long non-coding RNA, 273 nt
Filed under: Mustela putorius furo (domestic ferret)
Lineage: Eukaryota; Metazoa; Chordata; Mammalia; Carnivora; Mustelidae
Description: lncRNA (ENSMPUG00000030835.1)
Source: RNAcentral